AUUAUAUCUAUGAUUUUGGAUGAAAAUCCUUUAGUUGAGCUUACUGAUGAGGAUGGAACCAACUUAGUACGACUUCUUAGUGCAUCUGUCAAAAAGGUUGUUGGAGAGAGAAUAGCACUUGCAACUGAUACCCGCAAGCUGUAUUACAAUAAAGCUCAGAAAGAAAUAUUUGAACACAACAGAAGGGAUGUUACUGUUGCUAUGAUGAAGAACUACCCAUUGCUUUUACGCAAGUUCAUGGCUGACAAAUCAAAAAUACCAUCGCUAGUUGAAAUUAUUGUGCAUAUGAAUCUUGAGCUUUAUUCUCUGAAGAGGCAAGAACAGAAUUUUAAAAAUGUCCUCCAGCUCAUGAAAGAUGCAUUUUUCAAACAUGGUGAGAAGGAAGCAUUAAGAUCUUAUGUGAAGGCUAUUAACUUUUGUUCUACGGAGAGCCAAGGGGAGCUACAAGAUUUUGCUUGUUCUAAGUUGAUAUUGUCCAGAUGAGGCAAUUCUCCAAAAGUUUUGGAAACUUUGUGAGCAACAACUUAAUAUUUCAGAUGAGACAGAAGAUGAUGAUGUUAACAAGGAGUAUGUUGAGGACACAAACAGAUGAUGUGUUAUGGUCGCUACUGCAAAGUUGGUUGACAGUUAGUUAAGUGGUAGCUGAUUGAUCUGUUAUGGUUUACUAUGAAUAUGUAUGUUGUUGGACAGUACCCGAGGUUUCUAAGAGCUCACUGGAAGUUCCUAAAAACGGUUGUGAACAAAUUGUUUGAGUUCAUGCAUGAGACACAUCCUGGUGUUCAGAGCAACAUCAUGAGGAGGUUUUCCUUGGAAACCUGAGGAGAUUUCAAUUUAGAGAGCUUCAGAUGGCAACAAACAACUUCAGCAGCAAGUACUUGGUUGGAUGAUGAAUUGAAGGAUGGAGCAAGUUUCAUGCAUGAUUUACUUUUGUGUAUCUUGUAAUGUUUCUGUUUUUCAUUUUGAAAGUAAAAAAUGUUCAAGAUUAUAAAACUUUAUUAUGUUAUGCUUUCAAAUUUAAGUUGGAACUAAGAUCUCAUGAAGUAGACAUAUUUAUGGUUUGAAUUAGUUAUUGUUUAAUGUAA
Molecule: long non-coding RNA, 1082 nt
Organism: Humulus lupulus (European hop)
Lineage: Eukaryota; Viridiplantae; Streptophyta; Magnoliopsida; Rosales; Cannabaceae
Exons: 6
Source: RefSeq, a predicted model, not a curated record